This 488-nucleotide ribosomal RNA is filed under the name uncultured bacterium. RNAcentral describes it as "partial 16S ribosomal RNA". It matches the Rfam family "Bacterial small subunit ribosomal RNA", at positions 28 to 507 of the family's 1533-position model. The record is from RNAcentral.
GAUGAACGCUAGCGGCAGGCCUAAUACAUGCAAGUCGGACGGGAUCCAUUGAUAGCUUGCUAUCAAUGGUGAGAGUGGCGCACGGGUGCGUAACGCGUGAGCAACCUGCCUCCAUCAGGGGGAUAGCCUCUCGAAAGAGAGAUUAACACCGCAUAAUAUCAACAGUUCGCAUGUUCAGUUGAUUAAAUAUUUAUAGGAUGGAGAUGGGCUCGCGUGACAUUAGCUAGUUGGUAGGGUAACGGCUUACCAAGGCGACGAUGUCUAGGGGCUCUGAGAGGAGAAUCCCCCAAACUGGUACUGAGACACGGACCAGACUCCUACGGGAGGCAGCAGUAAGGAAUAUUGGUCAAUGGGCGGAAGCCUGAACCAGCCAUGCCGCGUGCAGGAUGACUGCCCUAUGGGUUGUAAACUGCUUUUGUCCAGGAAUAAACCUAAAUACGAGUAUUUAGCUGAAUGUACUGGAAGAAUAAGGAUCGGCUAACUCCGUG